UAUUAAUUAUUUUUUCUUAAUUAAAACACUAUUUGUUUUUUAUUUGAGAUGGGCCUCACAUUUCUUGGGAUUUGUAAGGGAAAGGUUAGUGGAUACUGAAUAAAUUGCAUUUUCCAUUCGGUGAGGGCUAUUAAUGAAAUAUGACGCUAAGUUGAUUAGUCUAAGAAAGAGCAAUACUUAUUUUAAUCCAAUACUUGUAUGUAAGUGUCCAAUGUACAAUACAUACUCUAUUUAGCAAAUGUGCAAGCAGAGGAAUCAGAUACUAAAUUCUGUCUGUAAUUCAAUAGGAACUAGUUCAUGGUUUUGCAUGUAAAGAGCAGAAGAAGUGGUGAGAACUGUUACCAAUACACAGUGGCAAAUUUAAACACCUCUAAAGCUUUUUCUAUGGUAUGAUUGUAGAUGUGCAGUCUCUAUGCUUGCUUGCUUUCAUGCUACAUUGCUGUGCUCAAUUUAAUUAAAUACUGCUUGGGACCAUGGUUUUAUUUUUGUUGUAUGUGCACACCACAUGGAUUUAUACUUUACUUUUUUUUGGUGGGGGUGGGGGGUCUUUUGCAUCUUUAUCAUAUUUUUCCCCAUUUCUAUUCACUCCUCAUCUUAGGAUUUCACAUCCUCUGAAGUGCGAGUGUAAUCACUGCAAGUUCAUCCACUGCUGCUACUUGCGAAUGCCUGCAACGUGCACAAGGCUCAGACAUUAUGGGGACAACUCAGAUUCUGCCUGGCAUUUUGCAGAAGCAUUGCUGUAUUUUACCAGACAGGAAUACAGAAUAGGACUUGAAAAUCACUGAAAGAAGUGAAAAAUUGGAUAUUUAUUUCAAACAGUAAGUUGACUCCUGUGUUUAAGUGAUCUGUUUUCAGGUGAAGUAGGUUUACAAGUUACAUACUAUUUUUGGCUAUUAUCUUUGUAGGAAAUUGCUAACAGAUCUUGCUUUAUAAAGUUGAAUAUGUUAACU
This 950-nucleotide long non-coding RNA is filed under the name Chrysemys picta bellii (western painted turtle). RNAcentral describes it as "lncRNA (ENSCPBG00000021823.1)". The record is from RNAcentral. Lineage: Eukaryota; Metazoa; Chordata; Testudines; Emydidae.